AGAAGUAAGUCUAAGUCAAGGAGCAACUGCCUGCCUGUGUGUGUGUGUGUGUGUAUGUGUGCAUGUGUAAAUAAUAUAUAAUCAUAUUCAAUCAUACAUAUAUAUAUAUACAUAUGUAUAUAUAUAUAUGUAUGAUUGAAUAUGAUUAUAUAUUAUUUACACAUGCACACAUACACACACACACACACACAGGCAGGCAGUUGCUCCUUGACUUAGACUUACUUCUCA
RNAcentral lists this microRNA precursor (228 nucleotides) under Marmota monax (woodchuck). Lineage: Eukaryota; Metazoa; Chordata; Mammalia; Rodentia; Sciuridae. The record is from RNAcentral.